GGAAUCUUGUUAUUGCAAAAAAAUAUAUAAUGAGAAAAAACACUCAGACACCUUCCGUAAAUUUACUUACAAAUUCAAAUUAGUAUGUUGUAUAUACAAAAAUAAUCAAGGGAUUUUCAAGUAAAUGAAAAAUGUCUUACAAUUGGCAACACUAUAGGCAUCUCAGGUUUCCAUCCUGACGGUAUGACAAAAUUCGGAGGAAUCAUACCUUGAGUUGCAGCCAGGUUACCAAGUGGAUUGGAUUCCAUCGACUGUGUAGCAGGAACAUCAAUGAAAGGCUCAAUUGUUGUCUCCUUAUCUUAUAUUUGGAUUUGGCAGGCCAAGCCUGGCUAGUGAUUGUACGAUUUCGUGUGGAACAUUUUGUAGCAUUUUAGGGAUUUAGGUUUGCGAUAAAGAUGGAGAUUUAGGGGCUGGGUACGAGAGAUUUAGGUUUCAAUAGAUUUAGGUUUGCGAUGAAGAUGGAGAUUUAGGGGCUGGGUACGAGAGAUUCAGGAAUGGGUAUGAGAGAGAAUUAUUCUUUCAAUUGGGAUUUAGGUUUGCAAUGAAGAAAGAAAUUUAGGGUCUAGAGAUUUUGGGGGAGUGAAAAUAAUGGAUGGAGAUUUUGGCAGAUAAUUUCAUUUAGUAGGGAGCUUGAAGUUUCCAUUACCU
RNAcentral lists this long non-coding RNA (648 nucleotides) under Panax ginseng (ginseng). Its description in RNAcentral is "long non-coding RNA (PGIN_LNC006548)". The record is from RNAcentral. Lineage: Eukaryota; Viridiplantae; Streptophyta; Magnoliopsida; Apiales; Araliaceae.